GUAAGAUAACUAGAGAAUACAUUAUUUUAGGAGAAUGACACUUCCUUGCUCUCUCUUUUUGCUGAAAUAUUGUGCUAAUAUCUUGUUGGACUGGGAACUGGAGCCAUAUUCCUGAUUAUAGACUGAGAGGAAGUACCAACCAAGCCAUUUAGAAUGACAUCUGUGUGGAAAGCAGGGCUUAAAGAAUAGUAUUUGGUGAUGAGAGCUGCCCAUGGUAAUCCUGGUGCAUCUUGGGUUGGCUGGAGAUUCUGGUCCAUAUUAUUCUCACUUGGAUUCCAGGCUGAGAGGACAGCACUGUCUGGAAGCUCACCAGUUUCUCUGGCAGAGGAAAGCAAGAGCAUGAUUUUAGACUCCUUGAAGGUGGGCAAGGUGUUUAAUACAUUGCUGAGUUUUGAACAGUGACUGGGUACCAGGC
This is a long non-coding RNA of Prionailurus viverrinus (fishing cat), 415 nucleotides long. RefSeq lists it as uncharacterized. The transcript has 3 exons. The record is from RefSeq and is a predicted model, not a curated record. NCBI's taxonomy places the organism in Eukaryota, Metazoa, Chordata, Mammalia, Carnivora, Felidae.